GAGAGAGUUGCCAUGUGAUCCCAGGAAGAGAGGACACAUAAGGCUGUCGCCCUCGUUUCCUUUCAGAGGAAGACAAAUAGGCAUCUGCAGCAAACGAAGUGCAAUACCCUCCACCUUUGCCUGAAUUAGCCCGGGAACAUGUGUGAGAUUUGCAGGGCAACAAAUCAUGCACAGAAUAUCUGGACAUGUUUCCUAUCACUUCAAAAAACAAGUCCUGGAAACAUGGCGAUUCAAGCAAGUCCUGGGUCCCGCUUGUAGGUCUGCAAGUCACAAGUCCUGCUUGGGUCCAGCUGUAUUCUCUGUUUCUUAGAUUUUCAUCAGGCUGACCUCCAGGUGUCAGUCAGCUAGGGACUCCUCCCAGAGGCCACCCACAGUUUCUCCCCACAAAAUCUUCUCAAGGCCAACAGGAAAGUCUCUGCAGCUUGGUUGAAUCUCCCUUACCUCUCCAUGGUUCACUCUGGACCUCCUUUUAUGUGGUCCACCUAGUUAGAUCAGACUCAUGGAAGAUACGCAGCCUUUAACGUCCAGCUGGUUAACAGUCGCAGGCACUGAUUACUCUCGAGUAAACAAAGUAGGGUUUAAUUUAUUACCUACAACAGGCACCGUGACUGCAGGUAAUGGUGUGAAGGAGUUCUACGGGGCAGUUCAGCAGGGUGACAGAGAGGAGGUCUUGUGAAAGGGACAUCUGGGCUGAGACCAGAAAGAGGAGAAGGAAGAACAGUCUAGGUGGCAGCUAGUGUCCGAAACAAAUUCAAGAAUAGGUUGUCUUCCUAGGGAGAAUUUUUAAAAAAAUUUGUUUGUUCUAGCAUCUCUGGAUACCUGGUGUAUUCCAUGACUUCCAGAUGCAGAAGGUAGUAUCCUUGGCCGUCGACAAGGGCCCUCCAUGCCCCUCCCUUCCCUCAACUACAACUGGUAGGAUUGAUGGCACACGAAGUGUACUCUUGGAUCACUGCUAUGUUUGAGCAAUGCAUCACAACCAUUACCCAGCUGCAUGCACUAAAAUGCCUUUCCAUACAUGGGUGCGUGUUACCCUGGAAAACUGAAGGCUUUUAUUUCAAAUUGGUUUACUUUGAAGUUUUCUUUGGUGCACAUCCUACUAUGCCAUAAGAGAAGUCUAUUCCAGGUUGGGAUACUGCUCACAUUUGCAAGCAUUUCAGCACACUAAGCUGCAUUGACAGAAACUCAUGAACAUGCAAGUAGUGAAUUUUGUGUUUGUUUCCUUCCUGCCUAUCAAUGUCUUCCUUCUACUUGAUUAAUAAAUCGUUCAGCAAUACCUGAAAACCUA
Non-coding RNA from Cricetulus griseus (Chinese hamster), 1285 nucleotides. NCBI's taxonomy places the organism in Eukaryota, Metazoa, Chordata, Mammalia, Rodentia, Cricetidae. The record is from RefSeq and is a predicted model, not a curated record.